GCGAUGAAAGCCCCCUUGACCCUGCUAGCUUGCAAAAAAAGAAAAACAAUAGAUGAAGCGAACAGGAAUCAGGGGAGCAACCCCAUCACCACCCUUGCCUUUGAGUACCUUCUGUUUCCUCGGCGGGUUCGCCCGCCAAUGGGGACUAAUUACAAACUCUUUGUAGUAGCAGUACAGUCUGAAAAGAAAAAGUAAAUCUUUUUA
Molecule: unclassified non-coding RNA, 204 nt
Filed under: uncultured Ascomycota
Lineage: Eukaryota; Fungi; Ascomycota
Description: sequence contains ITS1
Source: RNAcentral